AACGUAACCUUGGGGUCUGUGGU
RNAcentral lists this non-coding RNA (23 nucleotides) under Cricetulus griseus (Chinese hamster). The record is from RNAcentral. Lineage: Eukaryota; Metazoa; Chordata; Mammalia; Rodentia; Cricetidae.